CCUACGGGUGGCAGCAGUGGGGGAUAUUGCACAAUGGGGGGAACCCUGAUGCAGCGACGCCGCGUGGGUGAAGGAGUGCUUCGGCAUGUAAAGCCCUAUCGGCAGGGAAGAAGCAAGACGUUACCUGACUAAGAUGCACCGGCUAACUCCGUGCCAGCAGCCUCGGUAAUACGUAGGGGGCGAGAGUUAACCGGAUUCACUGGGUGUAAAGGGAGGGUUGACGGCCAAGGAAGCCAGGGGUGAAAGGCCGGGGCCCAACCCCGGGACUGCCCUUGGAACUGGAUGGCUGGAGUGCGGGAGGGGCAGGCGGAAUUCCUGGUGUAGCGGUGAAAUGCGUAGAUAUCAGGAAGAACACCGACUGCGAAGGCGGCCUGCUGAACCGCGACUGACGUUGAGGCUCGAAAGCGUGGGGAGCGAACAGGAUUAGAUACCCUUGUAGUC
RNAcentral lists this ribosomal RNA (441 nucleotides) under uncultured bacterium. RNAcentral's name for it is "partial 16S ribosomal RNA". It matches the Rfam family "Bacterial small subunit ribosomal RNA", at positions 338 to 795 of the family's 1533-position model. The record is from RNAcentral.